CGGCGGACGGGUGAGUAAUGCCUAGGAAUCUGCCUGGUAGUGGGGGACAACGUUUCGAAAGGAACGCUAAUACCGCAUACGUCCUACGGGAGAAAGCAGGGACCUUCGGGCCUUGCGCUAUCAGAUGAGCCUAGGUCGGAUUAGCUAGUUGGUGAGGUAAUGGCUCACCAAGGCGACGAUCCGUAACUGGUCUGAGAGGAUGAUCAGUCACNCUGGAACUGAGACACGGUCCAGACUCCUACGGGAGGCAGCAGAC
Molecule: ribosomal RNA, 256 nt
Filed under: uncultured Pseudomonas sp.
Lineage: Bacteria; Pseudomonadati; Pseudomonadota; Gammaproteobacteria; Pseudomonadales; Pseudomonadaceae
Description: partial 16S ribosomal RNA
Rfam family: Bacterial small subunit ribosomal RNA
Source: RNAcentral